GUUCACUUUAGCUUCACAUAUACUAAAAUUGGAAUGAUACAGAGAAGAUUAGGAUGGUCCCUGCAAAAGGAUGACACACAAAUUCGUGAAGUGUUCCGUAUUUUA
Mesocricetus auratus (golden hamster) is the source of this 105-nucleotide small nuclear RNA. The record is from Ensembl. NCBI's taxonomy places the organism in Eukaryota, Metazoa, Chordata, Mammalia, Rodentia, Cricetidae.